RNAcentral lists this ribosomal RNA (382 nucleotides) under uncultured Acidovorax sp. RNAcentral describes it as "bacterial SSU rRNA". It matches the Rfam family "Bacterial small subunit ribosomal RNA", at positions 897 to 1276 of the family's 1533-position model. The record is from RNAcentral. Lineage: Bacteria; Pseudomonadati; Pseudomonadota; Betaproteobacteria; Burkholderiales; Comamonadaceae.
AAACUCAAAUGAAUUGACGGGGACCCGCACAAGCGGUGGAUGAUGUGGUUUAAUUCGAUGCAACGCGAAAAACCUUACCCACCUUUGACAUGUACGGAAUCCUUUAGAGAUAGAGGAGUGCUCGAAAGAGAACCGUAACACAGGUGCUGCAUGGCUGUCGUCAGCUCGUGUCGUGAGAUGUUGGGUUAAGUCCCGCAACGAGCGCAACCCUUGUCAUUAGUUGCUACAUUUAGUUGGGCACUCUAAUGAGACUGCCGGUGACAAACCGGAGGAAGGUGGGGAUGACGUCAAGUCCUCAUGGCCCUUAUAGGUGGGGCUACACACGUCAUACAAUGGAUGGUACAAAGGGUACGCCAACCCGCGAGGGGGAGGCCAACUCCCA